RNAcentral lists this long non-coding RNA (7457 nucleotides) under Salmo salar (Atlantic salmon). RNAcentral's name for it is "lncRNA (ENSSSAG00000085542.1)". The record is from RNAcentral. Lineage: Eukaryota; Metazoa; Chordata; Actinopteri; Salmoniformes; Salmonidae.
CUCUCUUUCUGUAUCUAUCUGUUUCUCUUCUCUCUCCAUCUCUCCCUCUCUUUCUGUAUCUAUCUCUGUUUCUCUUCUCUCUCUCUCUCCAUCUCUCCCUCUCUUUCUGUAUCUAUCUCUGUUUCUCUUCUCUCUCUCCAUCUCUCCCUCUCUUUCUGUAUCUAUCUCUGUUUCUCUUCUCUCUCUCCAUCUCUCCCUCUCUUUCUGUAUCUAUCUCUGUUUCUCUUCUCUCUCUCUCUCCAUCUCUCCCUCUCUUUCUGUAUCUCUCUCCAUCUCUCCCUCUCUUUGUGUAUCUAUCUCUGUUUCUCUUCUCUCUCUCCUACUUACUGCAAUUACAGCUUUGGAGCCAAAACUAUAAUAACAGCAUAAUGGGAUGAGGAAGCUGCAAUAAAAGCCUCCGCUGACAGAUUAACAGUCCCGGACUUCUGAACUGUAAUUAACAAUGAAACUGGCAAGAAGAGGGAGAGAGAAAGACCGAGACAUGGUGGGACUGGAUAACUGGGCUACUCAUUUCUUAUAACUGAAUGAAAAUGAAAAGAUUUCAGGAAGUACUAGGAGUGGGACAAAUGGGUUACAUUUAUGUAGGACACACACUUAGGAGACAUGUCACAGUUAUGGAAAUAACUAAAGGGGAAGACAAAUGAAACCAUGUCAGUCAAAUAUGACAAGCCAAGGAUUUAGCAAACUCCAUCUAUCUCUUUUUUGCUUUUCAAUAGUGACUGGGUAUGAAACGGUGGUUUGAUAUGUUUGAACAGGAUACUUACCUGGGGAUAGAAGGGAGGCCUGUGCAAACAUUUUUGUGGUGGGGAGAAUCUCCAGAAAUAUUUCUUCCUGUGUGUGUACAUGUGUGUGCUGAAUUGAUGAGGGAGAUGUCUAAUAACACACACCCAUCACUUUGGUGGCACCCCACCCACUAGCUCUCACAUGCGACCUCUCUCUCCCUCUGUUUCUCACACACACACACAUUGCAUUGCACACUGAAGUUAGUGUCCCACAGCUCUGGAUAAUAUUUUUAUUGCCAAGGAAUGAAAGAGUGGCAUCAGACCUUUUCGCUAUAGUGGAACGUUUUUCCCUCUGAUAUCUGUAUAAAAAGAAUCAAGAGGAGGAUUCAUUUUCUAAGGAUGGGAUUGUACCAAAGCUUACCUUAAACUCUAUAAUAUAUUUACACUUUUCUGGAGGAGUUGUCUAUCGGGAAUGCAAAUACCUCUUUCAUAGAGGAUUUUAUUAUAGUAGAACUUUUAUGUAGUGUGAGAAUUUGAGUAGCCAACCAUGCUGCUUGGUUUCCAUCUCAAAAUGUUCUCAAAAUUGUAUCAGGAAUCUCUAUAGCAUUCAGUUCUUAGACUUUAAGGAACACGUAUGGACAGUCAUUAUUUUCUAUAUGCUCAGAAAUGGCUCUCGGAGAAAAUGAUUAAAUAAACACUUUUGAAAUAAUUGUAACCAACUUUAUGCUAAUACGCCAUAGCUUCUCUAUUCUAGCUGCAUUUCUUUUAUACUAUUAUUUGGCUAUUAUUUUUACAAACGUUGGACAUUUUCUUUAAAAGUGUAUUUCUGGGGUUGAUAGACGGUCGCCAGGAUAGCAGAGUAACAGGUCCUCAUUGCGUAUUGGACUGCACCGGACACCACACAGACUGAAAGAUUCCUAAAGAUUUCAUAUGGAGCCGAGUGACCCCCUUCAUCCAUCUGACCACCGGACUAUGUGGCUUACCCACCUCGCCCUGCUGCUGCUCCGGCUGGCGGUGUCCGCCGAGGGGCUCUCCACCUGCCAGUCAUUCAGCCUGGAUGAUCAGAAAUCCAAGCGCAUCGAGGCCGUCCGCGGGCAGAUCCUCAGCAAGCUCCGCUACCGGAGCCCACCCGAGCCCCCCGCACCUAGCCCACAGCCCGAGGCCGUACCCGCUGAGGUAAUGCUACUCUACAACAGCACCAGAGAGCUGUUGAAGGAGCGUGCGCGUCAGUCCGAUUCCGCGUGCGACCGAGAGAGCAGCGAGGAGGAUUAUUACGCAAAGGAGGUUCAGCGCAUAGACAUGCUUAGGCAGCGCACGGACACAAAUGCAGUGAACCCUCCAGUCCCCAGCCCAUAUUACAGAGUGGUGGGGUUCGAUGUGAGUGGUGUGGACAGGAACUCCAGCACCCUGGUCAAAGCUGAGUUCAGAAUCUACAGGACACCAAACCCCCAGGCCCGCACCUCAGAGCAGAGAGUAGAGAUCUAUCAGGUGAUAAAACCAGAAGAGGCAACAGGUCCCUCGCAGAGAUACAUCAACUCCAGAACGGUUCGCCCACGGACCAAGGGGGCGUGGCUCUCGGUGGAUGUCACAGACACUGUGACGGACUGGCUGGCUCAUAGAGAGAGGAACCUGGGUUUGAAGCUGGGUGUUCACUGUCCGUGCUGCACCUUCGUUCCCUCCACCAACAGCAUCGUGUUCAAUAAGAGCGAGGAGCUGGAGGCGCGCUUCGCUGGUCUGGAUGAUGAGCUGCUUCAGCAGCAGUUGCGGAGGCCAGGGUCAGGGCUGGCUAAGGGCCAGGUAGAUUUUAGUACCAAGACCCCCCACCUCAUCCUCACCUUGCUGCCCAGUUACAGGGUCGACAACCCAGGCAAGAAGAGCCGCAAAAAGAGGGCCACCGCAGACACCACCACCUGCUCCAGGAACUCCGACGUGGACUGCUGUCUGCGAUCGCUCUACAUCGACUUCCGCCGGGACCUGAACUGGAAGUGGAUCCACGAGCCGAAGGGCUACAAGGCCAAUUUCUGCUCUGGCAGCUGCCCAUACGUCUGGAGCGCUGACAGCCACUACAACAUGAUCCUGCCGCUGUAUAACAAACUGAACCCUGAGGCGUCGGCAUCUCCGUGCUGCGUACCUCAGGACCUGGAGCCUCUGACCAUCGUUUACUUCAUGGGCCGAACGCCCAAGGUAGAGCAGCUCUCCAACAUGGUGGUCAAGUCCUGCAAGUGCCGCUGACGCAGGGAGCCCAGCGGCGGGACACGAGGAGGGACUACAACAAACUACCACUUUUGGUCCUCAAACAAAAAGGACAGCCUGACUAUCUCUAGAUAUUUAACCCUUCAUUUCACUAUGACACAUUUUACAGAGUCUGUCACAGAUUAUUUUUAAACUCACAAGCAUGAAACUCUGAAAAUCGUCGUCAGCAAUGGGUCUUUUCCCCACUUUCAUAAGGUUGAGAAUAUUGUAAAUAUUGAAUUCCUUAAUAGCUUUAAAAUCUGAUAAAGUAUUUUGAUUGGAAAUACAAUGCGUUCUUGUUGCAUAAGACUCUGAUCUCUACCAAGUUGACUGAAGGACCCAGUAACUCCACAUAAGACCUCUGUUACUUAAGAUCUGUGCAUAUUUACUGAAUGGAGAUGAUUUUGAUUUGAACUAGCUUUGCUUCUCUUUCUUUCAGACCAAAGGAGAGGGAGAGAAGGAGAUGGAAAGGGGCUGGGAGGGAGGGAGAGAGAAGAGUCAGAGAGAGAGAGCGAGAGAGAGCGAAGAGUCAGAGAGCGAGAGAGAGCGAGAGAGAGCAAGAAGUCAGAGAGCGAAGAGUCAGAGAGCGAGAGAGAGCGAAGAGUCAGAGAGCGAGAGAGAGCGAGAGCGAGAAGAGCGAGAGCGAGAAGAGCGAGAGCGAGAAGAGCGAGAGAGAGCGAGCGAGAAGAGCGAGAGAGAGCGAGCGAGCGAGAAGAGUCAGAGAGAGCGAGCGAGCGAGAAGAGUCAGAGCGAGCGAGAAGAGUCAGAGCGAGCGAGCGAGCGAGCGAGAAGAGUCAGAGCGAGCGAGCGAGAAGAGUCAGAGCGAGCGAGAAGAGUCAGAGCGAGCGAGCGAGCGAGAAGAGUCAGAGCGAGCGAGAAGAGUCAGAGCGAGCGAGCGAGAAGAGUCAGAGCGAGCGAGCGAGCGAGAAGAGUCAGAGCGAGCGAGAAGAGUCAGAGCGAGCGAGAAGAGUCAGAGCGAGCGAGAAGAGUCAGAGCGAGCGAGAAGAGUCAGAGAGAGCGAGCGAGCGAGAAGAGUCAGAGAGAGCGAGCGAGAAGUCAGAGCGAGCGAGAAGAGUCAAAGCGAGCGAGAAGAGUCAGAGCGAGCGAGAAGAGUCAGAGCGAGCGAGCGAGAAGAGUCAGAGCGAGCGAGCGAGAAGAGUCAGAGCGAGCGAGCGAGAAGAGUCAGAGCGAGCGAGCAGAGUCAGAGAGAGCGAGCGAGCAGAGUCAGAGAGAGCGAGCGAGAGAGAAGAGUCAGAGAGAGCGAGCGAGAGAGAAGAGUCAGAGAGAGCGAGCGAGAGAGAAGAGUCAGAGAGAGCGAGCGAGAGAGAAGAGUCAGAGAGAGCGAGCGAGAGAGAAGAGUCAGAGAGAGCGAGCGAGAGAGCGAGCGAGAAGAGUCAGAGUGAGCGAGCGAGAGAGAAUAGUCAGAGAGAGAGAGCGAGCGAGAAGAGUCAGAGUGAGCGAGCGAGAGAGAAGAGUCAGAGAGAGCGAGCGAGCGAGAGAGAAGAGUCAGAGCGAGAGAGAAGAGUCAGAGCGAGAGAGAGAAGAGUCAGAGCGAGAGAGAGAAGAGUCAGAGCGAGAGAGAGAAGAGUCAGAGCGAGAGAGAGAAGAGUCAGAGCGAGAGAAAGAGGCAGAGAGAAGAGAAGAGGCAGAGAGAGAGAGAGAGAGAGAGAGAGAGAAGAGAAGAGGCAGAGAGAGAGAGAGAGAGAGAGAGAGAGAAGAGAAGAGGCAGAGAGAGAGAGAGAGAGAGAGAGAGAGAGAAGAGAAGAGGCAGAGAGAGAGAGAAGAGAAGAGGCAGAGAGAGAGAAGAGAAGAGGCAGAGAGAGAGAGAAAAGAGGCAGAGAGAGAGAAGAGAAGAGGCAGAGAGAGAGAGAAAAGAGGCAGAGAGAGAGAGAGAGAGAGAGAGAGAGAGAGAGAGAGAGAGAGAGAGAAGAGACAGAGAGAGAGAAGAGACAGAGAGAGAGAAGAGACAGAGAGAGAGAAGAGGCUGAGAGAGAGAAGAGGCUGAGAGAGGAGGGAGCGAAGAUGCUGAGAGAGGAGGGAGAGAGAAAAGAGGCUGAGAGAGGAGGCUGAGGGAGAGAGGAUAGAGAGAGAGAAAGAGAGGAGAGGGAAAGCAAAAGAAAGUAGGGUAGAGAGUGAGGUUGUGUGUCCAGGCAUUAAGGGCCUCCAGCCAGCUCUGCGGUCGAGGGCUGAAAUCUGCCGCCGUAAACAGGAUGUGAAAGAUUUCCAGACAUCGACCACUCACGCCAAAUUUAAACCCAUUUGUGGUCGGAGCAGAAAGAGGGAAGAAAACAGAAAGAGGCUUUGAAGGGAGAGACGUGGGCUCAUAGGCCCAAUUUGGAACACAUCAGCUUUGGGCGGGGGUAGCUAUUUUGCAGCCUUAGCAAAUUUCUAACAAUCAGGUCUGUCAUUAUUGGGCUUUUCACAGCUAUAACCACACUUAUCUGUCAUGUACAUUUACGUCUUGAUUGCUGUUGCAUGUAUAAUAUGUUAGGUCGUGUUGUUAACAUUGAUCCAGUCAUCGAAGUUUGGCCAUGUUAAUCACUUUUGAUAAGAGGGCUCAACUCAAAAUAAGUCCAUCCUGAGGCUCAACUUAUAUUUGGGCCUUCUGGUAUUUCAGGUAGGCCUGUGUGUGUGUGCGCGCAUGAGAAAGAGAGAGAGAGAGCAAGAGAGGGGGAGGGAAGGCUAGGGAGAUAUACUGUAGAGUGCUGUAUGUUUAAUUCUAUACUCUGGACUCCUGCGGUUGACACUGAACCUAGUGAGAAACAGAGUGGGUCGGCAGUCAGCCGCCAAGCCGGUCCGUUUUAUGUGCCAAACACAGAAAGGUGAUGAAAAUGUGAUACUGCCUAGAGACUUGAAACAGUAACCCAACUGGGCCUCCAUUAAUCCUCUUCUCAUCCUCCCUCAGUCUUUCUGGGGAAAGGACGUGUGGCCUCUGUAGGGGGAGGAGGAUGUUAGGGGGGCUGCAGUAAGGUCCCCCUCCCCCCCAGCAUCUGUUAGUCCUUUCCACCUAACCACCCCUUACUAUAUUCAACCUGCACUUAUCCCACAUUAACACUCCUCUGGGUGUCUGAGUGUGUGUGUGUCUGACUCAGUGACCUUCAGAGAGUGUGUAGUGUGUGUGUGCGCGUUUGUAGUUUGCGUGUGCUGUACACGUACGAUCUGACCUCCCUUCCACCCCACGUCUUCCCCAAGGCCUCUCCAUGUAUUAUGUCAUCUCAGGUAGGUUUGAUGGAACUUUCCUUUAUAUAUCCCGAGAAACAGAAUGCCGUCAAAACAAAAGUUAUGGGUCAUUCCACGAAAUGAGUCCCUUUUGAAUCCCUUUGAUAUUUAAAAAAAGGCCCAAUGCAGCCAUUUUUAUCUCAAUAUCAAAUCAUUUCUGUGUAACAAUUACAUACCUUAUUGUGAUUGUUUCUUUUUGACUAUUUUGAUUGACAACAAACGGCUUUUUAGCAAAGAGCAAUUUUCCUAGCAAGAAUUUUUCUAGGACUGUCAGAGUGGGGAGGGGAAAACUGAAAACUAGCCGUUAUUGGUAGAGAGGUUUGGAACUCUUUCUUAUUGGUCUAUUAACUAAUUUACCGACUGGUGUUGUCACCAGACAGGCCAAAACUCCAUCAAACCAAAACAGGCAAAAAUGUCACAUUUAUUUUCAAACAGCUCUUACACUUAAAGGGCAUUAUCAUCCUUUAUCAUGCUAGUGUGGAAAUAUCUAUAAAACUUUUUGGGGAAGUUUGUAAUCAAUUGCCACUGCCUGUUGCACACAAAAAGCUUACAUACCUCCUCCAGCCAGUGAGGAUUUACAGUUAUUUAAGAUGAAAUGGUCAACCCUGUUACUUUAUUUGGCACUUAAUAGGCACUUACUAAAGUCAUUUCUUUUAUUCAACCUCUUGAAAAACAUAUUUUUUAUGACAAUGUUAAAAUUAUGUAAAAUAAAAUGUUUUACACCAAAUUACACUUCCCAAAAGGGACUCCUUUUGUGGAAUGGCCCUUAUUCAACCAGAGCACUAUAUAUCCCACAUGCUGAAGGACACUGGGAUAUACAGAGAAAUGGAUCUCUGAAGCCAGAUCUAACAUGGUUAUUCCAAAAAGUCCUUUAGUCAGUGAUUUAAAAACCAUGGCUGAGGUUUGGGCUGAGCUCCAGGAGCAGACAGCACAGCAGGCUACAGCUAUGCAGAGGAGAUGUUGUACUACACUUACCAGCCAGGAGAUGGUGCUAUUUCUCAACCCAGUGAGUCUGACUUGACUGAGCUUAGACAGUUUAUAUAUUCUAUAUCUGUGGUGCUGAAUACAUGCAUUGGUUUUCAUACAAAUAUAUCUCAAUGACGACUGUGGUCCUCAGUCAGUGAGAUCUAGUAUAUUGUUGGCCUUUAUCCCCAGUACAUAAUAUAAGUACAUCUGAGCUUUGAGGUCUGCUUCUCCUGUGAACAAUAGUAAUAAAGACCAGCCUUACUAUCCCCCUUCAUGACCUGUGCCUGUCAGUUUGUUCAUCAGUCUCUGAGAUGGGAG